This 272-nucleotide long non-coding RNA is filed under the name Carica papaya (papaya). RNAcentral describes it as "long non-coding RNA (CPAP_LNC005386)". Lineage: Eukaryota; Viridiplantae; Streptophyta; Magnoliopsida; Brassicales; Caricaceae. The record is from RNAcentral.
AUUUCGCAACAGUAAAUAUAUGCAAUAAAUGAUUAUGAUAAAUGAAUUUACUUAAAUUAAAAGUUCAAUUGGUUGUUUUUAUGAUUUUUACCAACCUUCAAUUUCUAUAUCGGUGAGUAGUGUGAUAUUUUUAUUAGGCUAGUAUAACUCACCUUUUCAUUAAGUAUUUCAGAUAAAAAAGACCAAGACUCAGAUCCUGAUCGACAAGAGGAUUGUGAAUAGUUCACCACCCAGACUCCUUUAAAAGGUAAUGAAGGUCGUUCUAAGAUGUU